UACGUAGGGUGCAGGCGUUAAUCGGAAUUACUGGGCGUAAAGCGUGCGCAGGCGGUUCGUUUAGUCAGAUGUGAAAGCCCCGGGCUCAACCUGGGAACUGCAUUUGAAACUGGCGGGCUUGAGUAUGGCAGAGGGGGGUGGAAUUCCGCGUGUAGCAGUGAAAUGCGUAGAGAUGCGGAGGAACACCGAUGGCGAAGGCAGCCUUCUGGGCCAAUACUGACGCUCAUGCACGAAAGCGUGGGGAGCAAACAGG
RNAcentral lists this ribosomal RNA (253 nucleotides) under uncultured bacterium. RNAcentral's name for it is "partial 16S ribosomal RNA". It matches the Rfam family "Bacterial small subunit ribosomal RNA", at positions 524 to 776 of the family's 1533-position model. The record is from RNAcentral.